GCAUGUUUUUUCUUUUUCUUACUAAACUUUGCAGCAAUUCCGUGAACCAAUUCAAUGCAAGGUGGUGAGAUUCUCUCAUCAUUUUCUUUCUUCUGAUUUUCUUCAUUUUUCAAAAAGACUUCUUGUUCUAUGUUUUCACCCUUAGCCUCAUUUGGCUGAGUCUUAUCAUCUCUAUUAACAUUGCCAUAGGAAGGAUUCUCAGCUUGCAGACCUUUCUCCUCCUUUGCCUGUUUGUUCUUUUUCUUACUGGAUUUUGCAGCAAUUCCAUGAACCAAUUGAAUGGAAGGUAGCAAGAUUCCUUCAUCAUUUUCUUUCUUCUGAUUUUCGUCAUUUUCCAACAAGAUGUGUUGCUCUAUAUUUUCACCCUUAGCCUUAUCAUCUUCAUUGACAUUGGCAUGGAAAGGACUCCCAGCUUCAAGACCUUUUUCCUCCUUUGCCUGUUUUUUCUUCUUUUUCCCGGAUUCCGCAGGAAUUCCAUGAUCCAAUUCAAAGGAAGGUGGUGAGAAAUGCAACAUGAUAUCUCCCUUAUCAUUUUUCGUCCUCUGGUCUUCUUCAUUUGUUACGGCUAUAUCUUGACUUGAUUUGUCAGCUUUUGUCUCAUUUUGCUGGGCUUUAUCCCAUUUAAGGAUUGUGCCAAAGAAAAAAUCAUCUUCAAUUCCAGUUAUAAGCUGUUUCUCCUCUUUGGAUUGCUUCUUCCUUUUCUUCUUUGGCUUUACACCAUUCUCAGAGCCCACAUGAGCAGAAGGUAGGAUAGAUUCAUGUUGAUC
This 767-nucleotide unclassified non-coding RNA is filed under the name Hevea brasiliensis (rubber tree). Lineage: Eukaryota; Viridiplantae; Streptophyta; Magnoliopsida; Malpighiales; Euphorbiaceae. The record is from RNAcentral.